Molecule: transfer RNA, 85 nt
Filed under: Clostridioides difficile
Lineage: Bacteria; Bacillati; Bacillota; Clostridia; Peptostreptococcales; Peptostreptococcaceae
Description: tRNA-Tyr
Rfam family: tRNA
About the family: Transfer RNA (tRNA) molecules are approximately 80 nucleotides in length.
Source: RNAcentral
GGAGGAUCUCCCGAGCGGCCAAAGGGGGCAGACUGUAAAUCUGUUGUCAUCGACUUCGGUGGUUCGAAUCCACCAUCCUCCACCA